CACUGGAACUGAGACACGGUCCAGACUCCUACGGGAGGCAGCAGUGGGGAAUAUUGCACAAUGGGCGCAAGCCUGAUGCAGCCAUGCCGCGUGUAUGAAGAAGGCCUUCGGGUUGUAAAGUACUUUCAGCAGUGAGGAAGGAGGUAUCGUUAAUAGCGGUAUCUUUUGACGUUAGCUGCAGAAGAAGCACCGGCUAACUCCGUGCCAGCAGCCGCGGUAAUACGGAGGGUGCGAGCGUUAAUCGGAAUUACUGGGCGUAAAGCGCAUGCAGGUGGUUUGUUAAGUCAGAUGUGAAAGCCCGGGGCUCAACCUCGGAAUUGCAUUUGAAACUGGCAGGCUAGAGUACUGUAGAGGGGGGUAGAAUUUCAGGUGUAGCGGUGAAAUGCGUAGAGAUCUGAAGGAAUACCGGUGGCGAAGGCGGCCCCCUGGACAGAUACUGACACUCAGAUGCGAAAGCGUGGGGAGCAAACAGGAUUAGAUACCCUGGUAGUCCACGCCGUAAACGAUGUCUACUUGGAGGUUGUGGCCUUGAGCCGUGGCUUUCGGAGCUAACGCGUUAAGUAGACCGCCUGGGGAGUACGGUCGCAAGAUUAAAACUCAAAUGAAUUGACGGGGGCCCGCACAAGCGGUGGAGCAUGUGGUUUAAUUCGAUGCAACGCGAAGAACCUUACCUACUCUUGACAUCCAGAGAACUUAGCAGAGAUGCUUUGGUGCCUUCGGGAACUC
RNAcentral lists this ribosomal RNA (726 nucleotides) under Vibrio fluvialis. Its description in RNAcentral is "bacterial SSU rRNA". It matches the Rfam family "Bacterial small subunit ribosomal RNA", at positions 311 to 1029 of the family's 1533-position model. Lineage: Bacteria; Pseudomonadati; Pseudomonadota; Gammaproteobacteria; Vibrionales; Vibrionaceae. The record is from RNAcentral.